GCCCGGGUGGUGGAAUAGGUAGACACAAGGGACUUAAAAUCCCUCGCCGCAAGGCGUGCCGGUUCGAGUCCGGUCCCGGGCA
Molecule: transfer RNA, 82 nt
Filed under: Sulfuritortus calidifontis
Lineage: Bacteria; Pseudomonadati; Pseudomonadota; Betaproteobacteria; Nitrosomonadales; Thiobacillaceae
Rfam family: tRNA
About the family: Transfer RNA (tRNA) molecules are approximately 80 nucleotides in length. Their secondary structure includes four short double-helical elements and three loops (D, anti-codon, and T loops).
Source: Rfam by way of RNAcentral